Molecule: transfer RNA, 68 nt
Filed under: Scolytinae sp. BMNH 1039896
Lineage: Eukaryota; Metazoa; Arthropoda; Insecta; Coleoptera; Curculionidae
Description: tRNA-Phe
Rfam family: tRNA
About the family: Transfer RNA (tRNA) molecules are approximately 80 nucleotides in length.
Source: RNAcentral
GUUUAAAUAGCUUAGUGUAAGAGCGUGGUAUUGAAGAUACUGAGGUAAUAUAUUUAUAUUUUUAAGCA